UAGUCUUUCCCUUACAUAGUGCCAGGAGUGUAGAAUGGGUAAGCCCUGGUCUUUUCAUAUCUGUCAUAACAUAUCAUAACAUACUCGAAAGCUAGUAUGUCAUCCAACAUCCAUCCACAAUGACAAAAAAAUUAUGCAAUACAACAUAUUCAUGAAUUCUAAUGCAAAGCACUAUAAUCAUAUAUAUACAUGGCAUUCGUGAUGCAUGAGUGUCCUUAAAACAUUUGCUUUUCUUUGAAAUAAUAAUUUAGUUUAGUUAUACUCACCUCUGACUGAUGCACACCUAACUCUGAAACAGUUAUCUCAUUGCAAGUUUUUAUGGUCUCCCAAGUUUGAUCCUACAUAGAUAGACUUAAAUGAGAGACCAAACAUAAUUUUUAUAACUCAAAAAACUACUCCAAUAAACCCCUAUAAACAUAUAAGAACACACGUAGGAAACAAGCUAAAAAAGACUGGACAGGGGAGCAGAUUUAGUGGCCUAAAGCUCAUUCACAGAUCCGAAAGUUAAACCUUCGGAGGCAGGUUAGACGGCUAAAAGGCUACCUCCACAGGCCGGUUUGGCAAUUGAACUUUACUUUAAUGGCCAAACCUGGAUUCUCUAGCAAGGCAGAAUUCGAUUCUACCUUAACUCACAGCCACCAAAACACAAUGGAAUUCCCAUGCAAUGGUUCAACAACAACAAAAAAUAACUCAACACACUAGAACCACUUAAAAAUAACCUAACUUCAUCAUGCAUUGAUCUAUAAGGCAACAUCCAUCAUCUAAAAGUGAGAACUUAAACCUCAAACCAUUUUAAAAGAAUCAUGCAUCCAUCAACAAAUCGUUAAAACACCUAUAAUUCUUUUUGAAAAACCUCAGCAACAGAAGAAAAGCAAUAAUUAAAACUUACCUCUUGGAGACACAAUGAUGACAGCAACCAAGAACUUGGAAAAGAGAACAACCGAUAUCCGAAAGAUCUCCAAAGGCUAAAAUUUAAAAAGAUGACUUCGAUUGUUCAAAACAAAGAAAAAAACUCAUGAAUUCUCUAAGAGAUUUGAAGAAAACUCAACAAAAUCAUCAAGGAAUUAUAGGCUUACCUCUACUCAGAAGAAGAGAGAAGAAUUCCUUUCAAAAUUGGGCUGAGACCCUUUUAUAGUUGGGUCUGCUAGCUAAUGUUCGGCGGCCAAACAUGAGAGGUUCGGUGACCGAACCUUGAUGACUUGAAAAUCCCUUUCUUUUUAACACAUUUUAAAAUACUUUAAAUUCAUUUUAUAAAAGCCCAUUUUAACCUUCUAAAGAUUUUAGUUUCAAAAUUCUGGAUUCCAAUGAAAAUUCUGUCGAAAAAUUAAAAUUUUGAUGCUAGAGUUUAGCCGAGUAUUACAUUCUUUCUCCCUUAAGAACAUUCAUUCUCGAAUGUUCAACCAAAUAAGCAAACAAAACAUAUAUAUCAAGAAGACACAUAAAACCAUUUUAAUAACUUACUUCAAAAGAGAUGAGAGUACUGCCUAAACAUCGACUCUCUGGUCUCCCAGAUAUACUCUUCUAUAUUUCGGUGAUUCCAUAAAACUUUCACCAUCAUGAUUUCCUUAUUCCUCAGCUUUUUGAUCUGCGUAUCUACAAUUUGUACUGGCUGCUCAACAUAGGUGCGAUAUCUUAGGAUCUCCAUAUUAGACUCAUUAAGAAUCUUGCUCGGGUCUGACAUGAAUUUCUGUAAUAGAGAAACAUGAAAAAUUGGAUAGAUUCUCUCUAUGGAAGCAGGUAAAUCUAACUUAUAAGUUACAUUCCUAAUCUUUUACAAGAUUUCAAAGGGUCAGAUGUAUCUUGGAGCUAGUUUACCUUUCUUUCCAAACUGAAUCAUCCCUUUCAUAGGAGACAUCUUAAGCAAUACCAUAUCACCCUCCUGAAAGAUGACUUGGUUUCUACGGAUGUUUGCAUAACUCUUCUGCCUACUCACAGCUGUUUUGAUUCUUUCGCUGAUGAAGGGCACCACCCUAUUGGUGAUCUCUACCAAUUCUGGUCCUGCUAAAACCCUUUCUCCUACUUCUUUCCAACAAACAGACGACCUGCACUUCCUCCCAUAUAAAGCUUUAUAAGGAUCCAUCCCAAUACUAGCAUGGUAACUAUUAUUGUAGAUAAACUCCACCAAUGGUAGAUGUUGUCUCUAAGAACCACCAAAGUCUAACUUGCCUAGAAACUGAGUACACACCCAAGCACAAAGACAUGCAAAAAAAAACCAAACACAAAUAGCACAAAGCAAAGAGAUGGAAGAGACACAAAACAUGGUAACCCUGAAAAUAGCUCAUUGCCACCAACGCUUAUCCUUUGGCUCCAUCCAAUGAAAAACAUGCUUAAAACAAAAGACAUGCAGAUAGAGACGACACAAAAGCAGCAAAGGUGAAAACCCAAUCCAACCACAAUUGAGCAAAAUAGACCAAAACAAAGCUCUCCUGCAAACAACCAACAACCAAAAUUGUCAAAUAGAACUUGACUCACCGAACGAAGAACACCACACAGAGGAAGAGAACGUGAUAGAGCUCAGUCUCGUUGGAAUCAGUGGCAACAUUCAUCGUCGGACGCAUCGACGUGAUCCCAAGAUG
Molecule: long non-coding RNA, 2576 nt
Filed under: Manihot esculenta (cassava)
Lineage: Eukaryota; Viridiplantae; Streptophyta; Magnoliopsida; Malpighiales; Euphorbiaceae
Description: long non-coding RNA (MESC_LNC008119)
Source: RNAcentral